UACAGAGGGUGCAAGCGUUGUUCGGAAUUAUUGGGCGUAAAGCGCGUGUAGGCGGCUUUGCAAGUCGGGUGUGAAAUCCCUCAGCUCAACUGAGGAAGUGCGCCCGAAACUGCAUUGCUUGAGUACCGGAGAGGAUGGUGGAAUUCCCCAAGUAGAGGUGAAAUUCGUAGAUAUGGGGAGGAACACCGGUGGCGAAGGCGACCAUCUGGACGGAUACUGACGCUGAGGCGCGAAAGCGUGGGUAGCAAACAGG
This 253-nucleotide ribosomal RNA is filed under the name uncultured bacterium. Its description in RNAcentral is "partial 16S ribosomal RNA". It matches the Rfam family "Bacterial small subunit ribosomal RNA", at positions 524 to 776 of the family's 1533-position model. The record is from RNAcentral.